UGAAAAUUUAACAUUAAGAAACAAUAAGCACAACUGUAAUAAAUCAAGGUACAAUCUAAAUUUUGGAAAACUACAUCCAUUUGAAACACCAAUAAUAAUUCUGUUAAAGACAAAGUUUGUGAGAACAUGGUUAAUUAAUUACAACAAUUGCAUUCUGCCACACAUGGGGGAAAAAGAAGUAGAAAAAACAGGGAAAAGGUAAAGAAAAUUAUUAAGAAACAAGCAAUUGUCACCUUGCAUUGGUACCCCCUUGUCUAUUCAAGCGCCCAGAUGCUGGAUAAGCUCUGUUCCUGAAGUUGGCCUGUUGAGCAAAGCUUCUUUCUGAAAUAGUGUCUCCAUCAUGAAACCCCUGGACAGAUCUUUUACCCGAACCAUAUUUUUCAAACUCUAGCCUCUGCUUUGGGGCACUUUGCGAUCUAACCUUAGCCCGAGAGGAUUCUGUGUUAGCCAUGUAGUUCGGGUGACCUGAGUAUCCAUUAAAAAAGCCCCAUGAGCACUCACUCCUUGUGGGUGUAAAAGGACCUCUUCUACCGCUACUUCCAGGUCUAGAUGAUGGGGAAAACACAUGGGGGUUGUUCUCUACAUUCCUCAAAACCGUUUCAUCUUUUCCGAGGGGGAAAUUAAGAGAUUUCAAUGAUAAAACUUCUCCUGAAGAGACAGUUGGCAUUUGAUAUGUUGCUUUUGUUGGCAAGGUAGAUGGCAAGUCGAAUGUUGCAAAGCUCUUAUUGUUAUGAUCUGAAGCCAAAACAUGCCGUGAGGCCUGCAAGGUUCUGAUACUUUGUUGGGAUUUCAUGUGGGGCUUCCAAGUAUCCACUUCAAGGAUUUUGUCGCUCUUUUCAUCAUCAGCAUGUCGAUUUCUCAUUGGAAUGUUUCCAUGGUUGUUCUGAAAGCUUUCCUCCAUCCAACAAUCUAACCAAUUUGAACCGAGGUUUGCUUCAUCUAGGUGAAUGAUCUCUCUCAGGUUUGAAUUUGAACCACAUCUCUUAAGGAUGGAGGGCCCAUCAAAUUUAGCACCAUAAUCAUGAAGUACACGAUCCUUAUGAGGACGUGCAAGAACCUGCAAGUAAAUACAAAUAAAAGAAGUGUAUAACCUAAAUGCACAUAAAGAUCGAAAAUUGUAUCAGCUUGAAAUUUCCACUAAAGUUAAAUUAUGAUUUGGCCCAACAAAAUCAGGAGUUUGGCUGAACAGGUAUAAACUAUUAAGCACUUGCAAUUGGUAAAUUCCACCAAUCAUAAAAUUUCAAUGCCUUUACUACUUUCAAGACUCGACAUGCAUUUGAUGGUUCACCUUGGCUAUGCUCAAUAAGAUACCGAGUGAAAGAAAUAAAAAAGGGAAAAAUAAAAUAUCUACCAUGACUGACCGAUAUAAUAAUUUCAAAGGCAAUUUCAGAUACCUGAAAGGCAAAUUGACAUGAUAUCUUCAUAGGCUUAGAUCUAUCUCUUUAAUUCACUAUUCACAAGGACAAUUACAGACCACUAGUCUACCAGUUUAACCAUCAUUUAAGACAAUAAUGAUUAAAACUAAAUAAAAUUACCAGUCCACUAAAAUGCAGCUGCAAUUGCUUUAAUAAAAAUUAAAAACAACCAUGAAAAAAGGCACUUUCACCAAGCUGAUACUCCUCAACUUUAGAUAUUUUCACUUUUCCCAGGCAAAGAUACUAAGUUCCUUUCAACUAAGUGGACUUGCCACUUUUCUCCUGCAAAUAAAAUAUUAUUAUGAUGUAACUUUGUAUUUUAAAUAUUUUUCUAUUGAGCUCCUGAUUCAAAAAGUGUGCAAUAUCCAAAUGAUAUAUUUUGUGUUACCUGUAAUAUGAAUUCGUAUAAAUAUUAUAAAUUUCACUUUCUGCAAUUAUGGGGUUUAUAAGAUAAUAUUUAUAACUAGCUUUUUUUCACCAUAUUUAAACUUUUGCUCUUGUUUUGUUUAUGAGUACAUUUUAUAGUUGAAUAGUGUAAAAUCUUGUAUUUUUUUUUUCAGUGCAGUAUAUGCUUUAAAUUUGUAUGUUUGUAAUUAACUAAUUAAUUAAUAUGCAUGUAUAUCAAGAAUUGUUCGGGGUGAAAGAAAAUAUUUGAAGAGCCAACUUCACAGGGCACAAUCUAAUAGAAGCCACUUAAAGAUCUACCAUCAAACUAGACCAAAAAAAAAAAAAAAGG
This 2151-nucleotide unclassified non-coding RNA is filed under the name Hevea brasiliensis (rubber tree). The record is from RNAcentral. Lineage: Eukaryota; Viridiplantae; Streptophyta; Magnoliopsida; Malpighiales; Euphorbiaceae.